This is a non-coding RNA of Daphnia pulex (common water flea), 82 nucleotides long. The record is from Rfam. NCBI's taxonomy places the organism in Eukaryota, Metazoa, Arthropoda, Branchiopoda, Diplostraca, Daphniidae.
GAUAGUGUUGCCGAGUGGUCUAUGGCGGUGGUAUUAGGCACCAUUUUCUUCGGAGGCAAGAGUUCGAAUCCCUUCACUGUCA